RNAcentral lists this ribosomal RNA (437 nucleotides) under uncultured Oscillospiraceae bacterium. Its description in RNAcentral is "bacterial SSU rRNA". It matches the Rfam family "Bacterial small subunit ribosomal RNA", at positions 341 to 792 of the family's 1533-position model. Lineage: Bacteria; Bacillati; Bacillota; Clostridia; Eubacteriales; Oscillospiraceae. The record is from RNAcentral.
ACGGGAGGCAGCAGUGGGGAAUAUUGGGCAAUGGGCGAAAGCCUGACCCAGCAAUGCCGCGUGAAGGAAGAAGGUCUUCGGAUUGUAAACUUCUUUUAUGAGGGACGAAGGAUUUGACGGUACCUCAUGAAUAAGCCACGGCUAACUACGUGCCAGCAGCCGCGGUAAUACGUAGGUGGCAAGCGUUAUCCGGAUUUACUGGGUGUAAAGGGCGCGUAGGCGGGGAAGCAAGUCAGAUGUGAAAUCUAUGGGCUUAACUCAUAAACUGCAUUUGAAACUGUUUCUCUUGAGUGCUGGAGAGGUAGAUGGAAUUCCUAGUGUAGCGGUGAAAUGCGUAGAUAUUAGGAAGAACACCAGUGGCGAAGGCGAUCUACUGGACAGUAACUGACGCUGAGGCGCGAAAGCGUGGGGAGCAGACAGGAUUAGAUACCCUGGUA